AUGAUUCCUCAGACUCGGAGGCGACGGCGUCAUCCGACAACAGCGACGGGGACGGCCCCAAGGGGGCGGAGCCAACGCCUGCCAAGAGGUCAGGAAGGGGUUAAAUGGGGCCAAGAUGGCGGCCAAAGUGGGCGUGGCUUCAAAAUGGCCGACCAGUUGUUGGGUGGGGUAUAAAAAUGGCGGAACUUGAAGGGGGUGUGGGUUCAAGAUGGCUGCCAGGAGUG
Molecule: long non-coding RNA, 224 nt
Filed under: Junco hyemalis (dark-eyed junco)
Lineage: Eukaryota; Metazoa; Chordata; Aves; Passeriformes; Passerellidae
Description: lncRNA (ENSJHYG00000017090.1)
Source: RNAcentral